RNAcentral lists this ribosomal RNA (450 nucleotides) under uncultured bacterium. RNAcentral describes it as "partial 16S ribosomal RNA". It matches the Rfam family "Bacterial small subunit ribosomal RNA", at positions 354 to 796 of the family's 1533-position model. The record is from RNAcentral.
GUGGGGAAUCUUCCGCAAUGGACGAAAGUCUGACGGAGCAACGCCGCGUGAGUGAUGAAGGUCUUCGGAUUGUAAAGCUCUGUUAAUCGGGACGAAAGAGCCUAGUGUGAAUAAUGCUAGGAAGUGACGGUACCGGAAUAGAAAGCCACGGCUAACUACGUGCCAGCAGCCGCGGUAAUACGUAGGGGGCAAGCGUUGUCCGGAAUUAUUGGGCGUAAAGCGAGCGCAGGCGGAUCUGCCAGUCUGUCUUAAAAGUUCGGGGCUUAACCCCGUGAUGGGAUGGAAACUACAGAUCUAGAGUAUCGGAGAGGAAAGUGGAAUUCCUAGUGUAGCGGUGAAAUGCGUAGAUAUUAGGAAGAACACCAGUGGCGAAGGCGACUUUCUGGACGAAAACUGACGCUGAGGCGCGAAAGCCAGGGGAGCGAACGGGAUUAGAUACCCGAGUAGUCC